CAACAAGCCCAAUGAGGGGAAAGCAGCGAACCCCAAAAUGGUGAGCGGUCUUCCCAGCACUGCCGAUGCAUGUCAGCAGACCAUGCCUACUAACAAGCAGCAGAAUGGACCUUCCAACCAAAGACGAAGAUUUAAUCCACAGUAUCACAACAGGCUAAAUGGUCCAGCCAAGUCACAGGGCAGUGGUAAUGAAGCUGAUCCCAUGGUGAAGAGCAACAACCGACAUGAACACAGAAGACAGCCACAUAAUGGUUUUCGUCCCAAAAACAAAGGUGGUGCCAAAAACCAAGAGGCCCCCUUGGGGACAAAGGCCCCAGAGGCCCCACCACAUUCUGAAAAGGCCCGUCGAAGGCAGCACGCUGCAGACAACUUAGAGACCAGGCCUUUCCGGGGUAAUGUUGGUAGGGUUUCACAGUGCAAUCUUUGUCCCACUAGAAUAGAAGUUUCCACAGAGGCCACGGUUCUCUCAGUCCCAGCUGUGACGCUGGUGGCCUGAGCUGGGAAGGAAGAGAGCAGGUUUUGCCUGGUUUUGGUUCCCUGCCCAAGGUGCUGACCCAAUUCGCUGCCAAAAGAGAGUCAAUCAGAAUAUACAAACCUGUAUGUUUGUGUCGUUCUCUCGCAAUCAUUUUUACUAAUCCUAGUACUCUGCUCUAGCUUGCUUCAUAACUCCCAUGGCUUUGCUUGAUCUGUUGUCGCUUCUCCUCAUCAAGACUUUGCAUCAUGUUAGCCAGCCAGUAUUUACCCAUUGUUAGGAAAAUCGAGAUGUGGCUGAAGAUCAGAGGCUCAGUUAGCAACCUACGUUGUAGCUGUGAUGUCGACCCAUUGGUUGUCUUUAGAGAGUUAAUGUUGAAACAAGAAAUUCUUGAUCAGACAAACGUGAUCUGCUGAAGACACAUGUGCUUUUGUAGAAUUUAACAUCUGGUGUUUUUCUGAAAUAUUAUAUAAAUAUAUAUAUAAACAUAUAUUGCUUUAUUUGAAACAAAUUAAAAUAUGCUGCAUUUGACAC
RNAcentral lists this long non-coding RNA (1006 nucleotides) under Rattus norvegicus (Norway rat). RNAcentral describes it as "long non-coding RNA NONRATT029398". The record is from RNAcentral. Lineage: Eukaryota; Metazoa; Chordata; Mammalia; Rodentia; Muridae.